This 483-nucleotide ribosomal RNA is filed under the name uncultured bacterium. RNAcentral's name for it is "partial 16S ribosomal RNA". It matches the Rfam family "Bacterial small subunit ribosomal RNA", at positions 30 to 507 of the family's 1533-position model. The record is from RNAcentral.
UUGCACGCUGGCGGCAGGCCUCACACCUGCCAGUCGAGCGGAUGAAGGGAGCUUGCUCCUGGAUUCAGCGGCGGACGGGUGAGUAAUGCCUAGGAAUCUGCCUGGUAGUGGGGGAUAACGUCCGGAAACGGGCGCUAAUACCGCAUACGUCCUGAGGGAGAAAGUGGGGGAUCUUCGGACCUCACGCUAUCAGAUGAGCCUAGGGCGGAUUAGCUAGUUGGUGGGGUAAAGGCCUACCAAGGCGACGAUCCGUAACUGGUCUGAGAGGAUGAUCAGUCACACUGGAACUGAGACACGGUCCAGACUCCUACGGGAGGCAGCAGUGGGGAAUAUUGGACAAUGGGCGAAAGCCUGAUCCAGCCAUGCCGCGUGUGUGAAGAAGGUCUUCGGAUUGUAAAGCACUUUAAGUUGGGAGGAAGGGCAGUAAGUUAAUACCUUGCUGUUUUGACGUUACCAACAGAAUAAGCACCGGCUAACUUCGUG